RNA transcript from Bubalus bubalis (water buffalo), 8208 nucleotides. RefSeq lists it as uncharacterized. The transcript is spliced from 7 exons. The record is from RefSeq and is a predicted model, not a curated record. Lineage: Eukaryota; Metazoa; Chordata; Mammalia; Artiodactyla; Bovidae.
UAACAUUCUAUCACGUGUAGGUACCACAUCUUCUUUCCAUUCAUCUGUUGAUGGGCUGGUUCGAGGUUGGACCAUAUAAGAGCCACUUCAAAGCUUAAAAAGGCUGUCAGAUCAACAAAAUCAAAUGAAAGGGACUAUCAACCCAGAGACUGAUAGGUUGACUAUCAACCCAACAGUCAUAAAAGCCACAAAAGAUGGGUUUGGCUGCACAGGUCAGGUCCACACAUCAGUGGGUCCCUCUGGGAGGGCCUCUCAGAACCCCUGGGCUCCGGGGUGGGGGAGGUGGAACAUUCUGGGUUGGAGGGGAGGCCCCACUAGUCCUCUCCUUUCUUCCCCCUUCUCUUGUCCCUUUCUUGCAUCUCUGGUGCUGGCCAGGUGCUCCAUUGGGCCUUUGCACAUACUGAUAUCAGAGCCAUCCUGCCCUCAAGGGCAGUUUGUCUUCAGCAACACUUCCCUGGCCAUGUGACUGGUGCAAACACGGUCCCUGGCUUCUGCACACCCUGCCCUGCCAGCCUCUCCCACUCGGAGUCAGUGCCACUGUAGAGGACUUCGUGGCGACGGCAGGUGUCUGGCCACAGCCGGUGGGCACAGAGCUCCCCUGCCCCAUGUCCCCCAUUCAGGGGCCACCAGAGACUCGUGGAGCCCGAAACAGACCUGAGGGGAAAGAGCCAGGCUCAGACCAGUCCCACCAGAUCCAUGUCCCGCCCCCCACAGCCCCAGUUCUAUUACUCGCCCCAAGAGUAAGUUGGUGAUCCAUUUCCUAAUUUUCACUUGCUGCCUACAGAAAGGCUAAAAAGGUUGAAGUGUGUGUGAAAGCAAUCUGCCAACUAAAAUGCACGGCGCAGGUGUGUGUACAUGUGCACGAGUGUGUGUGUAUGUGUACGUGUGCACAGGUGUGUGUGUGUGUGUGUGUGCACAAAUGCGCGUAUACCUGCUUGUGUGUACAGAGGAUGCAGGGGCAGCCUGUCCUGGCCACGUGAUGGUAACGAUCAUUGAGGCAGCAGGAGAGCCCGCUGAGGCUGGAGCAGGGAGGCUGCGGUUCUGCCCCCGGGCAGCUGUCAGAAGCAGAGGAAAAUGGACUCAGCUCUCCCAGGGCCCGGGAGGGGAACGCAGGAAGCCAGGGAACAGCUCUCCUCCAUGUUGCCAGGGGACCUUCCUCCUGGAAGACAGGAGCUCAGGGUCCCUUCCUCAGUAGAAGGAUGCUGGCCAUGGACCCCAGGGGCUGCUCAUCAGGCAGAGUGUCAUGGUCUUCCAAGGCUAGGAGAGCCAGCCUAACCCCAGCUCUGCUCUUGCUGUGUGACCCGUGGUUAUGUGAACACCCUCUCUGGGCCCUGCACGUGCCACCUGCAACAGAGGGGCAGGGUGGGAGAAGAGCAGCACCCACACCCCCAACUGCUGUCAGGGCUGGCACCAGGGCACCAAGCAAACAGCGGAUUGCCUGCAGAGGCUGGCAUGGGCGGUACAGACCCCUUGGGGUCCCACGGGAGCAGCAUGACUCCAUCCAGGCUCUGAGGAUCCUGUGCUGGACCGCAUGGGCUCACAUCUGCCGUGGGGACCCAGGAAGUGGCCGGAAGAGAAGCCUGGAGCUGGGCUGGCAGCAGGAGAAGGAUUUUGCUGGGAGGCUUAUCUGGGGGCAGGCAUCCUGGGCAGGACCAGAGGUGUGGCAGGAAGGCCUGGGGAUGAAAGUGGCCGGUGCGUGGGUACCUUGAGCCCAGCCCUUACCUCCGGCACGACUUCCCUGGAUUUGCACUGUGACCCAAGGAGGUGGGUGCUGUCAACCCCACUAUGAGAGGAAGCCCAGUGAAGGGCGGUGACACCCCCAGUGCCAGGGUGCUAGGAAGUGGUGGCCUAAGUGUCAGCAGGAUGCUCUGACUCCGGGGCUGGAACCCAGGAAACAAAGCAGCUGGGGACCAUGGGCCCCUGGGCUGUCUCCAGCUCCUCCAUCCCACCCCCACAGCUCUGAAAACAGGGAUCUAUGAACUCUGCGAUGCAGCCCACUGGGCUGAGGGCAUCACUCUGGCAGGUGGCAGCCAUCGUUGGGAAGGAAACAGGGUAACAAACGUCAGAAUUCAUGAUGCGGUUAUGAUGCGUUUAGAGAAAUCCUCUUCUGGGGAAGCGUUUUGGUUCUGUGUGUACAAAGAGCUCACCCCUUAUUUCACAUGAAGCCGCUAUGAGUGCCCUGGGAUGAGAUUGGCCAUCUCCUUUCUCACCCCAGCCACCGUCAGCAAGCCCUGGAAGCCACUGCGUUCGGCCUUUUUUUUUUUUUUUUCUUUUUUUUUUUUUAAAUUUUAUUUUAUUUUUAAACUUUACAUAAUUGUAUUAGUUUUGCCAAAUAUCAAAAUGAAUCCGCCUGCGUUCGGCCUUUCUCGGCUCCUCAGGGGCCUCCGGGCUUUUGUUCUCUAAACAAGAACGCCGGUGCCGGGCACAGGACAGGAGCCAGGCCGUGCUGGAGGGCUUCCGUGCCGUGGCCCUACCCGCAUGCUGGCGCGCUGGCUGGGCAGGGGGGCGGCGCCCCUGUGUGAGGUCUGGGUGCUCAGCGUGUUGAGGUUUGGCUGCGGCUGAAUGAGGGGGACCCCAAGGCUCUGGCACGGGCCAUGUUGUCCUCUCUUCAUGAGUCCCAUGGAGUCCCUCACCUGCUGGCCAGAGGUGCCCCGAGGUCCCCAAACCCCAGGUCCCAAAGCUGUUCCACCAGGGCGCUCUCUACUCUGAGAGGUGCUGAACCCUGUGUAAUCACAGGGGGUGGGCAGAGACAGAGACCUCCCACUCCGGGGCCACACUCCGUGUGGGUGAUGAGCAGAGUGCCUUGGGGAGGAGGUGGAUGUCCAGAUGAUGAUGAUAUGGAGAUGGGGGGUCAGGGGCCAAGAAAUGCCAGGCUGGCCUGGGAGGCCUAUGGGGAAGAAGCCAGCAGUGGGCACCUGGAAGGCAGCCACGGGGUGAUCAGAUUUGUUUUCCAAUCAGGUCACUGACUCUGGCUGGAGUAGGGGGCUGGCCCUGUGUACCUAACUCUUUCCUAAUGACUCUCCUCUAACCAGAGGAAGGCCAGACUUGUGUUGGAAGCCCGGGAUGUGAGCAAAAACCGCAGUGCAUCCAGUUUCAAGUGAAGCUGUCUCCCCUCCUUUGGGCAUUGCCAGACACUGCCACUCCUUUUGUUUAUUAUCUCCAUCAAGUUUUAAGGUCUCCCAGACUGGAGGCCAUUUUUCUAAAUAUCUUUGAACAUUCCGAUGUUUAGAACAUGUGGGCUGGCUGUUUUGAUCUUAGAGGGUGCUGGGGGCCAACCUCCCCAAGGAAGGCUGGGGAGAACCCUCAGAUGCCAACCCUGCAGGGGGGUUCCUUCCCUUCCUGGUCUCAGGCCUCCUGUUUGGGCAAUUCUAAGUCCCUGGAAGGUGGCUCAGUGGUAAGGAACCUGCCUGCAAUGCAGAAGAUGUGGGCUCAAUCCCUGGGUCGGGAAGAUCCCCUGGAGGAGGGCAUGGCAACCCACUACAGUAUUUUUGCCUGGAGAAUCCCAUGGACAGAGGAGCCUGGCGGGCUACAGUCCAUAGGGUCACAAAGAGUCGGACACGGCUGAGCAACCGAACACACGUACACAGGCCCCUGGAAACCUUCAGUUGUAAUAAACAAGCACAAAGCAAGCUGGUUUUCCCACAAGAGGCCACAUGCUCCUUCUGCCCUCCUGGUUUUCCCGUUAGCUACACUGCCUGGCCCAGGUGCCACAGAAGGGGCCUUUGUUUUCCUUCUGUGAACUAAACACAUAGAACAAAACAAAAACAGAAACAACAACAACAAAAAUCCCCAACACUCUCACACACACAUAACUCCACCGUGUCCAUAGUCAGGACAGAGGCUGGAAGCCCUGUCGCCUGGCUUCACGUGGCGUGAACAAAGACAGCUGUGCUGGUCAGGCUGGGCCUCUCCAGGUGCCAGGGGAGCCCAGGGGUUUCUCGCAUCCCAGGUCUGGGUCCAUACUUUGGUCACUUGUUUUUGUGAAAAUGACCAAUGGACCCCCAACAAGGCUGCUGAGGGGGCCACCAGAGUUUUUAAAGGAGGGAAAACAUCAUAAAAUGGAGGAGGAGGGUCCUCCAGAUGGGACCAAAACAUGGACACAGGGGCAGCAGGGUACGAGGUGCCCAGGCUUGCCAUGUGGGUCUGUUCUGCACGCCCGGGGCACCUCCUGCACCCCCACUGCACACCCGACCCUCUGACUGCCUCCCAUCACACCCUCACACACAUAAGGGGUCCGAGCCACGUCGGCAUAGAUACGAACAAACGUUUUGGCCUGGUACUCCAUCCAGUAAGCCCCCACCUGCAGAACUGCAGGGCCCCUUAAACUGCAGUGCGACUAGCUGCCUCUCAACUCUUCUCCCGCGUUUCCAAGAGACAACAAAACACGUUUUCCCCUUUCCUGUCCAGUUUAAAGGUUGUUCCUAAAAAGCAAUAGUCAACUUACUUUUAGUUUUUUGAAACAGAAAAUUAUUUACCAAGAACACACGGCUUAUUUGUUUUACUCUAAGCUACUCCUUUAUUGAAACAACAUCACUGGAAAAGCCAUUUCAGUACAAAUGGAAGAUGAAUUGAAAAAUGGAUUUUUUCCUUUUUUUAAUCAUCACUGGGGUUACUGAUUUAAGGGCAGUUGUAGUUCAAACAAAGCCAAGGUCACUCAGUUUGUUACGUAAUAGUGAAAUAGUGCUGUUUUGUACAAAACAAAACCAGAUAUUCUUUCAGUUAAAAAAAAAAUUGGUGAUUUUGCCUGUGCAACUUUUAUCUCAAGUAGAAGAUGAUUCUAAUUUUAUCUGUGUUCAAUAAGCAGAUUUUUUAAAAAAAAAUCAUGAGGCUGGACGUGUUUACUUUUCCUUACAGUUCUCUGAGCAGCUGGAGAAAGUAAAAUCACCUUGAAUCUAAUGUUUUCUGAGCAUACUACAAUAGUCAGGUCCCUUAGACCCAUCUGGAACGAAAUUAAUUACAUCUAUGUGUUAGUUUAAUAGGAAACAAUUUUAUUUUCACUUGUAUUUUCCUCCGGGAUCUUAGGGAAAAAAGGAAAAAAAAAACAAAAAAACAAAAAACAAAACCCAGGAUAUCAGGAAAAGGCUUUGGUUCCUCAUGGCCCAUUUUCUCUUUAGGCUUUUUUUGGUUUCCAGCUUUUGUUUUUUUUAAUUUUUUACUGUUUUUUUUUUUGUUUGUUUGAAAAAAUACACAAAAUGGGUAUUUUAAAUAUCAAAUAAUUAUAGAAUUUGAACAUGACAAAAUUUGAGCGCCACUGUACAUUUUGACAAAAAAUAUUAUUAAAAACUACCGUCUGCUUUCACUCUAUUUACAUUCAAACGCCAUCCUUUUCAUUUCAUAUCUUCUGAUCUGUUCAACCUACCAUUUGUUACAUAUGUAAAAGUUCUGCCGACUAUUUCAGAGAAUAUUUGGGGGAAGAGUAAAAAACCGAUCUGUAAAAUUUCUACGGAAGCACGCUUGCUUAGUUCACAUUAGUUUUAAACACCGUGUCGUGCUUGAAAUGGCAAGUGUCGCUCGUGGGCACCGCGAGGCGGCUGCCCGGACUCGGGGUCGCGGCUCUUGGCGCGGCGCGGCAGGGCCGCCAAGGACCUUGCCCUCGUCCCCGAGGCCCGGCUCCGCCCGCAGCCCCCGGGCGCACUCACGCUGUCCCCCGGCCCGGGUGCCGCGCGGCCUUUGGGUCUUUACCGAGGCGAACGGAAGCGUGGGAGAGACCCCCGCGGGGACGAGAUGAAGGUGCGCGGCCUGCGUUUCGGCUCCAGCCGCGGGUCCCACCUGCUCUGCCCGGCCCCCGUGCGCCCCAGAGCCGCCGCCGCCACCGAAGCGCACAGCCAAGGCCAGCUGUCGGGACACCCCGAGCUCGUUUGGCUUCCACUGGGCAUUUCAUCUGCCUCCCCUAUCCCGACUAGUUCCGGAUUUGCAACCUCACAGGUCUGGCGUGCUGCAGUUCACGGGAUUGCAGGGAGUCAGACACGACUAAGUGACUGAGCAACCAUAUAUAUUUAAGCACAUGCUGCUUGGAGGCACUGACCAUAGAAAGCUUUAAAACCUGGCCGAUAAACACCUCCGAAGGAGCAGAGGCCAUGCCUGCCCCACGGCAGUGUUUUCAUCUAAACUUCUUCUUCAUAUUUCUCACGUCAGCACCGUUUCAACUGAAGAUCUCAAGACCAUGAUGGACAGAGAAAAGCACCUUCCUUAUGUGAAAAGUAUCAACUCGUUUCUGCUCUUCAGCAUUGUGGAGAAGCCAAGGAAACUGUAGCUCCAUGAGGCUAAAUGUCUCAUCCACCCUUGAACGGGGAUUCACACCAGACGCCAGACUUCAAGAGCGUGCGUGCUUCUCAGUAUUAAAGAGGAAUCCGGGGAGUCUUUGUUUUCAAUGGCAGCUUAUUACGUUACCAAGUCUGUAAUAGUAACUACGAAUGGCGUAAAUUAGGACACUGGGCAGAUGUCACAAUGGGUCUUUAACAGCUGCAGAAAAAUCAAGAAGACCCACAGGCAAAUUUCGAAGAAUGCAUGGCUAAUUUACAAACAAGGGGGAAACAGAAGGUUGAGAAACUCAGCGGCUUCAAAGACGGCAGAAGACGGCAAACAACUCGGAAAGCAGCCUCCGCGACUUUCAGAGAGCGCGUGCCUCGUUCGGCCUCCUACGCAGAAACCCACAGCAGAAUGUGCGCGGCGAACACGUUGCCGCGCUGCCCUCGCUUCCCCAGGGUCCUUCCGCGCACAGGAGGGUCCCAUUGCGCACAGGAGGGCCCCUCCGCGCACAGGAGGGCCCCUCCGCUGGGCUCCUUCGUGAUGCUCAGGGAUCUCAAGACGGAGCAUGUUGGAGAAGCAAGUGGUCAUCACAAGGCCCCUGGGACCACGGAGGAACUUCUGCAGGAGGCACAUUCUUUACUGCAGAGCCACCGGGAAAGCCCCUUGAAAGCUAACAUCACGUGUUAAACGCCUUUGGUGGAUAGAUGAAGCAUCACUCACUCAGCCCCAUUUUGAAGAUCUACCCUGCCUCACGCCCAGUAUGAGGCCCUGGGGCUUCCAAGGCAAAGGAGCUGGGUUCCUGCCUGCAAGGUGUUGAUGUCGCUAGCAGGGCGGUCAGAUGCGGAAACCACCAGGGGCUGGACUAGUACGGGUGCACCGUGCUCAGGAGACGGGUGAGCCCUGGACUGUGGGGUGGGCGUGGGCUGCGAGAGUGGGAAGCCAGGAUGGUGUUUGGUGCAGGGGAGGCCUUGGGGCAGGGCUGCAGGGGUGGGGGGACCUGGUGACUUUGGGGGGUUUUGUGUGCUGCGCUGAGGGGCUAGGUCUGGCCAUGGUAGGAGCUGGGUCUGUGUCUCUCAGUUGGGGGUCCUGGAAACCAGUGCCAAAGGAAUUUACUGGAGACAGAAACUUUACCAUGUUGGGCAGGGGAGUGAGUGGGAUGUGGAGGAAGGUAGAUUUUUAAAUGUGAAUAUCUUAAUUUUAUUUUACAUUGUUUUAAAUAUAACUUUAUAUAUUUUUUUUUUCUUUUUCAAGUGGGGUAGAUUUUUUGAGGAUGGCGGCUAUGACUUACUCCUCCCUGGGUCCACUGUAGUGCACAAAGGGAGUCCCCAGUUAAUUGGAAAUUAACUCUCUGUUUGCAGAGUUUCAGUAGCCGUAUUCUUCCAACUUUAUCUUUCUCAAUUUUAAAAAAAGCCCUUAAUCUUGACUGAGGAUAUAGGCUUAUGAACGUGGCCAGAAAGAAGCAAGGGAUGAGGCCCAAGUCUAUCCAGUCUGUGUUUUCUCCACUUUUCCUUCUGGGUUGGGGGAACUUCAUAGAGUCCCCCCACCCCAUACAGAAAGCAUCUUAUAUUUGAGUUGCACAUUUAGAAUACAAAAUUUGAGAAAUAAUCGCCACCACAUUCUACCAAAUACCUACCGUCUACCAGAAGCAUACAGCAUGUGUGGCCGCUGCCCUUUGAGACCUCAUGGUCUAGAUUCUUUGCUUAAUGUAGUGGAAACUGGAGGAGAUUGAAUUCUCUGAAGAAAUGAUACCCACAGAGGAGCAACAGUGCCAUCCUGUUUCUGUUUGGAAACCCUUCACGAUUUCAGAGAACGAAGAGAAACGUGCCACAAUACAAUGAUUUUUUUUUAUAAGCACAAGAGAGCUGUCUUCAGUCAGUCCCACCUGCGGAGAAUUAACUAGCCUGCCAGCAACUCUGACGGUGAAGGGGUUAAAAUAACAAAUAAAUGACUUUAUUUAGA